Regulatory RNA element from Subdoligranulum sp. CAG:314, 91 nucleotides. It matches the Rfam family "TPP riboswitch aptamer (THI element)". From Rfam's summary of the family: Vitamin B(1) in its active form thiamin pyrophosphate (TPP) is an essential coenzyme that is synthesised by coupling of pyrimidine and thiazole moieties in bacteria. Lineage: Bacteria; Bacillati; Bacillota; Clostridia; Eubacteriales; Oscillospiraceae. The record is from Rfam.
UUUAUACAAUCGGGGUGCUUUUAACGGCUGAGAUUAUACCCGUCGAACCUGUAAGGUAAUACUUGCGUAGGAAAAAUAUUUUUUCGGAUUU